AGGAUUGUUAGAAGAAGAAUCACUACUUUAUAAUUAACAUUGACAUUGUCACGAGAUCUACAAAAUCCAAUAUAAGACUUAACGCAUGGGCUUUAUAUUGAAACUCCGGUAGCUCAUACGAGGAAUGUUUCUAAGGCCCUGUGUUUAUCAAUGUUUUUUCUUCUCAUGUUUGGUAAUGUAAGAAAGUAACCAAGAAAUAUCACUUUAUUUUCUUUCCCAUG
RNAcentral lists this long non-coding RNA (221 nucleotides) under Prunus persica (peach). Its description in RNAcentral is "long non-coding RNA (PPER_LNC007289)". The record is from RNAcentral. Lineage: Eukaryota; Viridiplantae; Streptophyta; Magnoliopsida; Rosales; Rosaceae.